GACGAACGCUGGCGGCGUGCCUAACACAUGCAAGUCGAACGAACUCUUCGGAGUUAGUGGCGGCCGGGUUUGUAACCCGUGGGAACGUUCCUUUUGGUUCGGCCUAACUCAGGGAAACUUAUGCUAAUACCGAAUGUGCCCUUCGGGGGAAAGAUUUAUCGCCAUUAGAGCUUCCCGCGUCUGAUUAGCUUGUUGUUGAGGUAACGGCUCACCAAGGCGACGAUCAGUAGCUGGUCUGAGAGGAUGACCAGCGACACUUCGACUGAGACACGGCCCAGACUCCUACGGGAGGCAGCAGUGGGGAACCUAGCGCAAUGGGCGAAAGCAUGACGCAGCCAGGCCGGGUGAACGAUGAAGGUCGUAGGAUUGUAAAAUUCUUUCAACGGGGACGAUAAUGACGGUACCCGGAGAAGAAGCCACGGCUAACUUCGUG
RNAcentral lists this ribosomal RNA (433 nucleotides) under uncultured bacterium. RNAcentral's name for it is "partial 16S ribosomal RNA". It matches the Rfam family "Bacterial small subunit ribosomal RNA", at positions 28 to 507 of the family's 1533-position model. The record is from RNAcentral.